AGGGUUUGAUCCUGGCUCAGAGUGAACGCUGGCGGCGUGGAUUAGGCAUGCAAGUCGAGCGAUCCGAUUUUCGAGAUUGGACCAACCUUCGGGAAGGUCCAUGAUUGAUUCUUGGAUAGCGGCAAACCGGUGAGUAACACGUAGGUAACGUACCUUAAGGAGAGAGAUAGCCUCGUGAAAGCGGGGGUAAUACCUCAUGUGUCCCGAAGCCUGAAAUGGCUCGGGAGAAAGAUGGCCUCUACUUGUAAGCUAUCACCUUUUGAGCGACCUGCGUCCUAUCAGGUUGUUGGUAGGGUAACGGCCUACCAAGCCAUAGACGGGUAGCUGGCGUAAGAGCGUGGUCAGCCACAUCGGAACUGAGACACUGUCCGGACUCCUACGGGAGGCUGCAGUCGAGAAUCUUUCCCAAUGGACGAAAGUCUGAGGAUGCGACGCCGCGUGGGGGAUGAAGGCUCUCGGGUCGUAAACCCCUUUUAUUAGAGAGGAAAUCUAAGAUGCGAAUAGUUUCUUAGUUUGACUGUAUCUGAUGAAUAAGCCACGGCUAACUCCGUGCCAGCAGCCGCGGUAAUACGGAGGUGGCAAGCGUUACUCGGUUUGACUGGGUGUAAAGGGUCCGUAGGCGGUUUGAUAAGUGAAAGGUGAAAUCCUUCGGCUCAACCGAAGAACUGCCUUUCAAACUGUCUUACUUGAGGCUGGGAGAGGAGAGUAGAACUGCUGGUGUAAAGGUGAAAUUUGUGGAUAUCAGCAGGAAUGCCUGUGGAGAAGUCGGCUCUCUGGUCCAGACCUGACGCUGAGGGACGAAAGCUAGGGUAGCGAACAGGAUUAGAUACCCUGGUAGUCCUAGCUGUAAACGAUGGGCACUAGGUGUCUGUCCGUAAGGAUGGGUGCCGUAGGUAACCUGUUAAGUGCCCCACCUGGGGACUACGGUCGCAAGACUAAAACUCAAAGGAAUUGACGGGGGCCCGCACAAGCGGUGGAACACGUGGUUUAAUUCGAUGCUACGCGAGGAACCUUACCGGGGUUUGACAUGCUGGAAGUAGUGCUCCGAAAGGAGUUCCGACCUGUAACCAGUCAGGUACCAGCACAGGUGCUGCAUGGUUGUCGUCAGCUCGUGCCGUGAGGUGUUCCCUUAAGUGGGAGAACGAGCGCAACCCUCGCCAUUUGUUGCUACCGAUUUCGAUUUAUCGGAGUCGAGCACUCUAAUGGGACUGCCCGCGUUAAGUGGGAGGAGGGUGGGGACGACGUCAAAUCCGCAUGGCCCUUAUGUCCCGGGCUACACACGUGUUACAAUGCCUGUUACAAUGGGAGGCCAAGCCGCGAGGUGGAGCAAAUCCUAUAAAAGCAGGCCCAGUUCGGAUUGAAGGCUGCAACUCGCCUUCAUGAAGCUGGAAUCGCUAGUAAUGGCGCAUCAGCAACGGCGCCGUGAAUACGUUCCCGGGCCUUGUACACACCGCCCGUCAAGCGCUGAAAGUGGGGGGCGCCCGAAGCUCUGCUUUUGCAGAACCACGGUGAACUUCGUGAUUGGCGCUAAGUCGUAACAAGGU
This 1544-nucleotide ribosomal RNA is filed under the name metagenome. RNAcentral describes it as "bacterial SSU rRNA". It matches the Rfam family "Bacterial small subunit ribosomal RNA". The record is from RNAcentral.